This 451-nucleotide long non-coding RNA is filed under the name Rosa chinensis. RNAcentral's name for it is "sRNA RchiOBHm_Chr1g0345161". The record is from RNAcentral. Lineage: Eukaryota; Viridiplantae; Streptophyta; Magnoliopsida; Rosales; Rosaceae.
GGUCCACUCACAAUAUGCGGUCAAUCCUGACGUCGCUCGUGAUUCUCCUCGUAUGGAGACUCCUCUCGUCCUGUACGAAUAACAAUCAUAAAUAUAUAAUUCACAGGACGGAACUUUAACUUUACGAUACUUAAUUGGAAAUUUAAAACAUCCCCCUUCCUAACAUCCGACUCCUCAACCCUCUACAAUUUCCAUCCUUAAUACUCCAUCCAUAUUCAAUCAUCGAUAAAUAAAUUCUAGAGUGAAUUCGAAAGAAUUCCGGCGAUCGAAUUCACAUAAAUCGUUAAUUAAUCAAUUAAACACAAUUCGUAAUUCCUCCAAUUUCCACCAAACUUCAUACAUUACAUUCUACAAUCGUUAUAGAGUAUAUGGGGGUUAAAACGACAAUUAAAACACUGCUUUACGCGCCUCCAAGCGCUACCUCCCCACGCGCCGGCGGCGACCUCCUCCG